Molecule: long non-coding RNA, 574 nt
Organism: Eriocheir sinensis (Chinese mitten crab)
Lineage: Eukaryota; Metazoa; Arthropoda; Malacostraca; Decapoda; Varunidae
Exons: 4
Source: RefSeq, a predicted model, not a curated record
ACGGACUUGAUUGCGAUAAUUUGACGUGUUUAUUGAAAUGGUAUUGACUUGAACGGUGUCUAUCUAUUUUUCGGUGUUCUGUGGCGUCGCUUGGUGGUGCUGUUCGCAGAUGAGUAGACGGAAGGGAAAGUAAAUGGAAGGUGGAAUGAUCGAAGUGCGAGGGUGGUGCUCAUAACGUAUGUGUGUGAGUACCUGCGAAGCUCUGAACACGUGGUGAGAUCCAGCUGUGACUUCCUCUCCCUUCACGCCGUGGCGGAGUGGCUGGGCGCACAAUGGGGAGCUGCAGUUACGAGCGUCGGGUCUGCACCAACAACACCAGGCGUUGACAAGUGUGGGAAAAUACCUGCCCGCCCGCCACCCCUUGUCGCCGCUACCUGCCCCGUGAUCCAUCCUUCCCCUGUCUGCCCCCAUCCAUCUACAUCCAUCUCAACCUCCUUCACAUCAGAAAAUUAGCGAUUACAGCAAAUUGGAACACUAACGGGAACCGCCAUAUUCUACGUCUUGCCGUGAUGUGAUGUUCAUGUUAAAGAUGUUAUGGACUCGAAAUAUUCUGGAAAAUAAAAGUAAACUGGAA